CACAUGAGUGCAUUUUAAUAGGCUAGUUAUAUUUUGGCUAGAGCUAAUGGGUUCGUUGAUUCACUGGAUUCAACUAGGCAAUUAGCACAAAUUGAGAGGGUGGCCGAUUGGGUUGGGUCAAACCCAUACACGAACACAACACACGCAUGCAUACUGAGCCGGACCGGCUCCACCACACACGCACGCGCACGACUCUCUCGGCCUCUUCUCUCAACACGCCCACGAGACAGUUCGUUCCCCUCUCGCGUUGACUCCCUCCUGGCGAUGUGCCCGCCGCCGCUUCAAUUCCGGCCGUCGCCGGCCACAUCCGCCGCCGCCGCACGUCGGCCAAGUCCGGUGCCGCUGCACCCGCCGCAACUUCGCCUCUUCCUCCAGUACUGUUUUGCCGCCGCCGCGGCGCUCGCCGGCGCCCCCACGCGUAGCCCCGCAAAACCCUAGCCAUGGCUCGGGCUCGCCGUUGCGGCCACGGUGGUCCCAGGUCCCGGUUCUCACGCCUCCUGCUACUCCACCGCGACGCCUCCUCGUCGCUGGCCUCGAGCCCCAGCUCGACUACCCCGAUGCCAAUGACCUCCUCCUGGUUCCCUGCGUCGAUCUCCUCGGUGUGACGAUGGUGGUGUGAUGAUGUGAUGCGGCUGCUGCCUCUCAGCCUCCCAGGGGUAGCCGUGGCCUCCUGCAUCACCCUGCAGUGGUAGGCUGCGGUUGCCCCAGCCUCCACUUCGACGACCUUGCAGACUCCCUGGAUUAUGGGCUCGGCGAUACCUCCUGUCAAGUAUAAUCUCGGUUCACCCCCGCUCUCCCUCUCACCUGUGUUCUAUGAUCAAUUGGUACUAGUUGUGUGGCUAUAUUCUCCUGGACAUGUAUUAAAUUUGUGGGUGGUUUCAUCUGUGAGAUAUUUGGUUGUGGCAAUGGUCACCUAAUCAUCUAGGUAUGAAUAUGUGUGUGCAGAUGAAGUGCUGCUGAUGUAUUUGUGCUAGCUGGAUAUGUCUUGCUUAGGUCUAGCUAUUUUAGCAAUCUGGUAAAACAGUUCAUAGAUGCACAAGAUAUGAUCUCUAAUUAAUUUGUCUACAAGCAUCCACACAGAUAUAUCAAACAACGUGUAGGUGAGGUGUUGGAGUGUGUUUAAGAUCAGCUAUGUAUACUAAAUCAUAUAAGCAAUUAUUCCAAUAAUUGGUUGGUGUGUAAAUAAAUAGAUGGCAGCGUAUUAUCAUCAUGUUUUAAUUUUGUAUUGCAAGUGUAAGUGUGGGUAAUAUGCUUGAGCUUAUGAUGAUUUCCUGGUACAUACAUAUGGAUGAUAUAAGUAGCUAUUUUAUAUUUUCUGGCUGUGAUCUACUUACUGGUCAAGUUUUGGUGUUCUUGGAUGAUCAUCUAGAUGUGUGGAAUAUAGUUCAGAUUAAGCAUAAACUUUCCUAGUUGAUUUCAAGUGGCUUUAAUGUGCUGAAGUGAUCUAAAUAUGGAUUUUGGACAACUCUAGUUGAUGUCCAGCAACUCUAUUUGUUUACACAAACGCCCUCUCUUAUCUUCUCAACAAAGUAUUGAUCAAGAAAUGUUGUAUGCUAGUAUCUAGCCCUGCCAAAGAGGAUUUCCAAUUCUGAGGUACUUCUUAUGGUGAGUUCAUCCCUCUACCCACAAAUACGCUCUACUUCUCUCCCUAAGCCAACCUUGUGAUCUUCUGCAGCUUGCUCUUCGGGUAAUCGGAGCAACCUGCGUCUUGUGGCUUGCCUCCACCUCCUAGCUGCUUCAGCUUGGUCCUAUCUAUUGUAUGGAGUUGCCCAAAUUCGUUGGGUUUCUUGUAUCAUGGUGCUAUGUGGUCAAAAUGGCUGAUAUGGGGCUCCUUUUAUAGGAUUUUGAUGCUCAUCACAAGUUGACACCUCAAGUGGUGACUCUUACUCAUUUGAUGGAGAUGAGAAGAAGAAGAAAACAAGAUCAAGAAGAUUCCAAAAUCAACUUAGCUUAGGAUUUAAUUCAUUUGCUACUGUAAUAUUAAUUUGUAUUCAUUCCUACUUGUAAUAUUAGAUUGUAGGUUUGUAAUAUAUUCUAGUUCUUAUUUGGUAGACAUAUAACAUUCAAUUCAUGUUUGUAUUAUCGAGUUGUUGUUUAAAGGACAUUGUAUUGUUUCUUUGGAAUCCUGUAUUCCAAAGUUGGAAUUGUAUUUGAUGUAUAAGUAUGGUAUUUCCGAAGUUUA
Lolium perenne is the source of this 2182-nucleotide long non-coding RNA. RefSeq lists it as uncharacterized. NCBI's taxonomy places the organism in Eukaryota, Viridiplantae, Streptophyta, Magnoliopsida, Poales, Poaceae. The record is from RefSeq and is a predicted model, not a curated record.